CUCUAGUUCAGCUAUAUCAUGUUCUGCAGGAUGGGAUCUUUGCUUCCGUCUAGACCUAAAGGAAAUCCACUAUCCAUUUGAAUGACUCCAGAGGCAGUCUGUGACCCUGUUUAAAUGGAUGACAGCGUCUGAGACUCACUUGAUUUGCUGAGCAGCUUCCAAAGUAGUUCUUCUCAUCGAUCUGAGGCCUGCAGUGGCCGUGAGCGUGCAGUCGAGCAGAGAGGUUUGAGACUGAAGAAUGUGGGUCAUGUUUAAGUCGACUCGUGCGCUGAACCC
RNAcentral lists this long non-coding RNA (276 nucleotides) under Sinocyclocheilus anshuiensis. RNAcentral's name for it is "lncRNA (ENSSANG00000022297.1)". The record is from RNAcentral. Lineage: Eukaryota; Metazoa; Chordata; Actinopteri; Cypriniformes; Cyprinidae.